This is a long non-coding RNA of Abrus precatorius (Indian licorice), 1828 nucleotides long. RefSeq lists it as uncharacterized. The record is from RefSeq and is a predicted model, not a curated record. NCBI's taxonomy places the organism in Eukaryota, Viridiplantae, Streptophyta, Magnoliopsida, Fabales, Fabaceae. The transcript is spliced from 4 exons.
GUCGUUCACAACACUGCUGCUUCUGCUGCUGCUUAGUUAGGCAUUUUAGCUUUGCAGAUAAAGCGCAGAAAGUUGUACAGCUGUAAAAGGCAGCCGCCUCUUGUCUGGAUUAGCACUGCACACAAACGUGUUGUUGGUAAAUGAAAAAUUGGGGCAUUAAUUUUCCACAUUUUCUCAUGUCUACAGGAAUACUGCAAUAAUUACAGCUAAGACUUUGGGACAGUGAAUGAAUCAAGGAGCUUUAAUUUGGUAAUUGAGAAGGGAAAAAUAGAAGCGACACAAAAUCAGGCCUUAUGUUCAACAAUUUGACGGCUGCCAUUUCAGUGAAAUUUUAGGAAUAUCUAGCUAAGGUACAUUUUACCCCCUUAAUUUAUGCGCUUUUAUUUCUGGAGGAUAGGCUUCAUGUUGAUCAUCACUAAUAUUAAAGAUUUUAAGGCAGGAAAUUAUAUAUUGCUUGCAGGAGGAAUCAUAUUAAUUGCAUUUUUUUUUUCCAUUGAACAUAUUUAAUUUAAUUUAGUUUUGAAUUUAACUGUAAGAUGAAUAGUGCCUUCCAUAUCACUCUCAAGAUGUUGAUCAAUAGAUGGAUAUAACUCAUCAUAAAAAAAAAGUGGAUGUGGAUAAGAAUUAUACUUCAGUGCCGGGUUUGAUUUAGUUCAGCAUCUUUUCGUAGUUCAAUGUUGACAGGUUACAACAUAACAUUGUUGCAAGCUAGUGCACUUGUCAAUUAAAGUCAUCACCUCUUAUGUAAGAAAAUAAUAAUUUUAAAUGCUUUUCGCCUGAACCAAUGAUAGUUAUUUGUUGCACAUAUUGCAAUAAUAUUAAUAAUAAUAAGUAUGUUUGAGAAAAUAAAAGCAUUGGAGGAUUGAUCAUGAAUUAGAUUUGAAAAACAGUAGAAAAAUCAUACUUCAAAUUAACUCUAAAUUAAUUAUCUCACUCAAUUGAUUUAAAUUUGACCAUCUGAGUUUAAUUAGUAGCGCUGUUAUAUGGUAGAUUGUUGCUCCCUUACAAUAUGCAACAAGUUUGAAAUGCCAUGCAUAUUUCAUAGCAACAUAUAUAAUGUAUUGCAUGGUUGAGUUUAUAUGGAUUUAAUUUGAUACAUUGUAAAAAUGUUUUUACGUUCAAUUACAAGUAUUGUAUUUUAAUGUUUCAUUUUAUUUAUUAAUGUAUUUAAAUAUCAAAUAAUAUGCUAACAUGAGACAGUGAUACUAAAUGAUAGAAGUGUAAAAAUACUAAAUAUACAAUGGCAUGCAUUAAUGUGUGCGUGUCCGUAGUAAAUUUAGGAGCACUGAUCCUAAUUAGUUGGUUUAAAACCAAAACUUCAAGACCAUAAAAUUUCUUCACAUGCUACUUUUGUAAUCUCAAAAUUUCAUGCAAUAGAAGCAUGAUUAUGUUGGCUUAGUGAUGGUAUUCCAUGUGCCUUUAAAAAGCUAAUUCUUAAAGAUGAUAACAGUGACAGGAGAUUAAUAAUUAUGACAAUGCAUUUUACUGUAAUUAGUCUUUUUUUUAUUACAUAAUCAAGUAUUUAUGAUUUUUUUACUACUUUUAUUUUUAACUUACAAACAUAUAUAGAAUAUGGGGGCAAACUUGGUUAAGAAUAACUGUAAUUAAUGUCACAUUAACAUAACUAUUUUUCGCCAUUAUUACAGUAGACUUUAUUAACAGCUUCUGGAAAAUGUAGAUACCAUUCUGAAAUUAAAUCUACUAUUGAUGAUUAUUUUCGAUUGUUAUAGAUACUGAUGUUGGAAGUUGAAAAGUGGUUUAUUCCAUCCACUAGUCAAUAAAAAAUGAUAAAUUAACUUUAGUAUCUAAAAUAGUUUAUUAUAUACUC